CCACAAUUGCUUUGAUGCUUGUCUCUUUUUAAAAAGCACUUCAAGAGAUGCAACAGGAAAGUGCAGUGUGGGGAGCUCAGCAUGCGAUGAGGAUGGUUAUGAAAUGGUGCAAAUCUCGAUGCUGGCUCCGUUCUCUCCACCUGACAUGCCAAAAGCUACAUCUGACUCAGGAGCCCUCUUUAUGGUACAACCAGCGGACAAUGAGGUUUCUAUUCAAGGUCUGGAAUAUAUUCUUACAUAAUUGAUAGGCUCUGAGCUAAGCAAGAACUGACUAAAUGCUUUGGCACACGAGAGUGCCCUGGGGGUAGGUUGUCAUAUUUGUCUGAUAAUCCAUGCGCGCACGUAAUACCUCUCAAUGAAAUGCAAGAUCCUGAAUGCUAAGCCACAGGCCACAACACUGGCUGAAAACCCCUUGGGAUUAAGUGUCCGGCGUACAAAGAAUGGGCAAAGAAAGAAGUUUGUUAUAUAAGCCUUGUAAUUGGCAGCUUAUGGAGGGCCAUCAGCAACUGCCCCACUGCCCCUUGUCAAGCCACUCAUGGUGGCAAAUGGAGCCUGCCCCACAUCAGGUAUGCUCUGAGAAACCAUACAGGAAUCUACAGUGCUCUGCCCCACUGCAUGUUCAUCUCACAUCAUCUUUUCUCUCCAUCACUGUCGCUGCCUCUGCCAUAAGCAAAGGAAUCAAUGAUGGACUGGAGAUGGGUGGACUACAAUCAAAAUAGGCUGGGGUGGGGACAGGGGGCAGCAUAAGACAUUCUGGCGGUAGCGGCACCAGUGGGGCAGGCAGGGCGAUGCCUCUUGUGCUUCUGCUGCCUGAGACGGGUAGUUCCCUGUGCCUCAUCGGUGGGCUGGCUCUGUUGGUGAUUCACUAUGGAAUACCUCUAAUCACAAACAAGCCUUGCACUUCUGUUUCCAUUCUCUCUCCACCCCCCACCCCCCACCUUUUUUAUCUUUCUGGUGCCGCCACUGGGAGAAAUUCAUUAAACCACACUAUGUCUCAAGAAACUACGGGAUUGAUGUGGAUUGUGGCUAACCUUGUGAGUAUAUGGCUUCAGAAACCAGUGGUGUGAGCAUACGAGUUGUGUGUACACAGCCCUUUUCCCAGUUAGAUGAGAUGAAUUGAGGCAAAAAUCCAAGUUUGGGCAGCCACAGGGAAGAAACACUUUAGCCCUUUGCAGCUGAAACUCAUGAGCUCCUUCAACAAACAUUUGUCGAGCAUGAAGACAGGGAAAACACGCUGGGGUACAUUGCAGAAAGCAGGACUUGUUUUGAUGUUACGAUUCCUAUUAAAACUUGUAGGAAAAUGGCUGAAGAUAUUAAUAGAAUGAGGUUUGUGUCAUUAAUUGUAGCAUGUGCCCUUUCAGGCACACUGUUUGGCUCUUUUCCCUCUACAUUUUUCUAACACAGUAAAGGAAAUGUAUCAGUACCUUGCAGUCUUAACUUUUAGAGCAAGCAAACUUCAGGGAAGGGGCAUAGCUCAAUGGCAGAGUAUCUGCUUGGCAUGCAGAAACUUCCAGGUUCAAUUAUUGGCAUCUCCAGGUUAAGGCUAGGAGAGAUUUGUGUCUGAAAUCCUGAAAAGCCACUGCCAUUCCAUGCAGAUCAGCAGUGGGGGACCCCUAUUCCACAGCUCAAAUUAAGCCCAACAGGGAAUCCCAAUUGGGCCUGUAAGGCUGUUCUUUCCGAACCAUGUCCAUCUGCUCCACACGUGAUGUUCACAUGUGAUAUCAGGUGUGGAGCAGGUAAAGAUGCAGCUGCAAAGAAACAGUGGGGAGCCUUAAAGUGUGCUCCCAAUUGCUCCUUGGCAAAGCGAGGCUUGCUGUUAAGCACUGAUCAUCUGGUUGGCACCCCAAGCAAGUCAUGCAGGGAUCAGCUGCACUACAGAUUUCCCUAUCGGCAGCAGAGCAUCUGCUUUGCAUGCAGAAUGUUCCCAACUGGGAGCUCCUUAGUGCAGCUAAUCCCUUCUGAAAGUGGGAUUUGCUGUAAGCACUGAUUAGCUGACGGUCGCUUACAGUUCGCUCCGCAGGGAAAGACUUUCUUCGUCUGCAUAGAUUGAAAUCAAACUGUGUGGGCAAAGCAAAACAUUUAAUUUGACAUAGUCCUGCCCACCUGCCAAAGUGACUCUCCCACUUGUCAUCCCAUCCACCUGUCAAAGUGGCCCCUGGUAGUUGGGGACGUCAGAAUCUGGCUCCGCACAAAUCCAGUUCUCCACUGCUAGUGCGGACAACACCCAAGCUAAAUGGACCAGUGGUAUAAGACAGCAUCUUGUGUCCUGUCCCCCCCGGAAAAUCCCAACAAAUGUUCUAAAAAUUAAGAUGGAUUGCAAUUAUUAUUAUUUUUUUAAAAAGAAAAAACUAUAUUAUAGCCGGAUUCAUUUGCAAAUAAUUCUGCUUGUGAUGUGGGCUACAUUUGCUCCUUGCUGCUAUCUUCUGAAGCAAUUCAUGACCUCAUUUUGAUAGACCCUAUUGUGUGACUUGGAUGUUCUCCAGAUGGAGGGAAUCCUCAUGAGGUUUGCAGGUCAUAGGCAGAUGUUUGUGAUUCUUCACCAGUCUCAGGGCUGCCUAUUCUCUGAUAAGCAGAUGAUCACUCAAAAGGCUAUGAUCCCUGAUGUGGACAGAGGGUGCUGCGUUUUCAGCCCGACAAGCAAUGUCAAACUAAGGCCAGCAGUGUAGGCAUGUGUUGCAUCAUGUAUCUAAGUGUGCCAUAUUCAUUUCUUGACAAGGCUUAUUUUGAAUGAACUCUGCCAGAACUCAACCCUGGAACAUGUGAAUGAAUUAACAGAAGAUGUGCUGAAUUCCUUUACAUUACUAGUUUCUCAUGGACUGGCUGGAUGCAGAGGAGUGGUGGGAGGUACCAGCUGGGGCACCCUCAAGGGAAGAAGACUCGGAGCCAGGGGAUUGGUGGUGGGACAUGGUCAGAGGGAGAAGAAGGAACAAACUGGGAGGAGGAUGUGUCAGAAGCUGAAGAGGUAACAGGGUUUAGUGAGUGGGGAGAUGCUGGGGCAGAGAGCAGUUCAGACUCAGAGGCAGAAGCAGAGGAUAGAGAGGAGGGGAGCCAAGAGGCAGCAAUGAGUCAGGUUGGUGAGGAAGUCAGGCUGUCUCCCCCUCCUGUGGUGACCAGCUCCCCUCUCUCCUGGCCUCCCAGAACCCAGAGAAGUAGGAAGAGGGUGGAGCAAAGACAGACAAGAUGAAGGAGCCUCAGAUUACUUGGGAAGGAACCAGGGGAGGAGGAGACUUAGGGAGCUGUGGGAAGGCAGGGUACUUUAGUCCUUGCAACUGCCUCAUUGGGCAAGACCUACUAGAAAGAGUUAAACAAUACAGGCUAGAAUUGAUUACCUGUGCCUAUGUAUGUGAAAAGACUUCAAUCUCUUUCGGAGGAGAGAUUCCCCGCUAUGUCUUACACAGAAUGGGAACAGACCAAAUGCUGGAAGGCUGGCAUCCAACGCCUCUUGUCCCCAUAUCAAUUACAAGAUCUUCAGGUGACCAUGAAGAUGGAGAAGAGGCACUUGAGAGACUAUCUCUUUAGGUCCGAUGCAGAAAGGGAUUUAACCAUGAUUGCUUCUACCAAGAGCUCACCAUGGUUCCCACAUAUCAAAACGGAGCAUGCCCGUGCCAGAUACCUGACAAAGCUCCCACUUGCCAUACUGAGAAUCGCUUUUACAGAACUACGAUUCCAAUCGAUGCCCUUGGCACUGUUGGAUAGACAGUACGGCAAAGUACAUUACAAAGAGAGAUUCUGUCUAUGUGGACACCCCUGUGUCGAGGACAUGUGCCAUUAUUUAUUGCAGUGCCCGUUAUAUAUAGACCCAAGAGACCGAUUUAUAAAAGCCCCUGUUUACGAAUGGAACACAUCUGAUGAGCGACACCGAUGACUUUAUUACUUAUAAAGUAGCACUCUAUGCACUGUGUAGAGCUGCAUGCUUGCUAGAUCAGGAGGCACCUACUUCUCUUAAAGAUAUAUUUACUGAGUUGCUUGAGAAAAAUGAAGAUGGCCUGUCUAGUCAUCAUAUUGCAUGAUGUAACUGCAUGUGAUCUCGCAACUGGCCUUCAUUUUAUUUUAUACCUUGGGCUAGGCCUGUACAUUGCUUAUGUGUGGAAGCUCCUAGUUAUAGAGCGAAGAUAUCAUCAGGACAUUUCCCAACAAUGAAGUGUUCAAAGAGUAAAUACAACAAUGGUGAGAAGUGCUUGAAUAGGUGGGGGGAAAGAUUCCAGAGGUAUGGUUAAAUAUUUGUUUUAAAGAUUAUUAAAACUGUAGUCUACAAACUCAUUUUUGGAUUGAGCCCACUUUCAUCCUCUUGACUUGAGCUGCAACCGAGGCACCUCAAAUCCAAGUAUUUUGGUUUUACAUGUCAGGUUUCCUAUCAAAGGCCUUGUAAAUUUAUCUUUGGGGUGUGCUGGGAUGGCUCUUAAGCAGAGUGAAGCAACUGCUUUGGGCAGCAGAUGGCAGGGCUCAAAAUGGAAUUAAGGCAAAAGGCUGUAUUACAUAUGUACUGCAAAAAUAAAAAUAUUCAAGCCAUUAAAUGUAAAACUGCACUCUUGUAACCAUGUGACAGCCAAGGGUGUUAUUCAACAUAGCACUAAGUUGGAUGUGUGUGUGAAUGGAAUGAAAUACCGUACUGGGAAUUGUAGUUCUAUGAAGGGCAAACUACAGUAUCCAGGAUUCUUUGGAAAGGGGAGAUCGGUGCUUUAAAUGUAUGGUGUGUACACAGCCUUGGUUUGACUCUAUUAAUGCAAGCGUUUUAGUCAUUUCCCCUUGGUAUUAUUUGUCUUUUGUGUAGGGACUGCAAGGCUUGUCUGUGAUAAGAGGUGAUCUGUAGUGGAUCCUCCAUAAGCUCCAUAAUGAACUGCUUUACACCAAGUCGGCCCCAUGGCCCAUCUCACCCAGUACAGUCAUACCUUAGAUCUCAAACGCCUUGGCUCCCAAACAAAUCGGCUCCCGAACGAUUGAAACCCGGAAGUGAGUGUUCUGGUUUUUGAACAUUCUUUUGGAAGCCGAAGGUCUGACGGGGCUUCUGUGGCUUCCAAUUGGCUGCAGGAGCUUCCUGCAGCCAAUCAGAAGACACGCUUUGGUUUCCGAAUGUUUUGGAAGUCGAACGGACUUCCGGAACAGAUUCCGGACUUUAUUGACUACCCUGAGUAGCAGCAGUACUCCAGGAUUGCAGAGAGGUCAGUUACAUCACCUGCUACUUCAUCUUUAAAAUUGAGAGGCUAGGAGGUUGAAUUAGGACCUUCUUCACGCAAAAUAUGUCUUGCUCUACUACCAAGCUAUGGUCUUUUUCUAAAUAAUAAUUUUGGGGGUUUGGGGUGGGUGCUGAGUGCUGAACUAACACUCUUGCCAAGCAGCCUCCCCUUGUUUAUUCAUUGGAGAGGUAUGUUGAUAGUUGGCCAACAGAAGUGCUGCUUCUGAAAGGGGGAAAGAGUCUGUAGUCUCUUCUGUACUCUUAAAAGGUCUCAGGAAUACUUUGACAUUGACCUCUCGUUGUCCAAGGAUUUUGUGUGCUGGUUUGAGUCAACAUGUUGAUAAUGAUCAUAGCUGGGCUGCUUUCUCUUCUGCAGUCACUUCCUGCUCAUGCGGUGUAGGUCUUUCUGAAUAAACACACGGGGGAAUAUUUGCUCUGCAUCCAAUAAACAGGCCCAUGAUGUUUACCUGAAGUAAACAUUGUAUCUCGGCCUGUGAGCCAUCUGUACAAGAAUCUAGAUGAUGGAACAGAUGGAUCAGAAUUAGAAAUAUGGAUCCAGUCUGCCUUGUUUGACCAUUAAAAUGUUUGCUCCUUCAAAAAGAGGGGAGUGAGUAGCUUCAGCAAAACAUUCCUUGUUUGUUACCUCUCCCUGGUUUUUGAAUGAGAUAGCUACGUGACUCUACGGACAACUAGCAGGCUCUGAUUUCUAAACAGGAGGUGGUCCAGGGCACCAUUUCAGAGAUUCCUUUCUCAGCCAGUGAACUAAUGCUUGGAUUCUGGAAGGCUGCAACAGAUCUUUUGGAAACAAAUCUUAUGCAUGCCCAGUUAGUGGACAGAUAGCUUCCCUAUCAGUCCUAAACAAAGUUGACAUCUUCCAGUGUUUUGACUCUCUUUGAAUAUGUGCUCUUGAAGUAAAAUCUUGAAGUAAAAGUCUUCUCAUAGAUGAAGCCUUACUGAUACCAUUCUAUAAAUCUGUCAUGUGCCUGCAUUUGGAAUACAGUGGUACCUCAGGUUACAUAUGCUUCAGGUUACAGACUCCGCUAACCCAGAAAUAUUACCUUGGGUUAAGAACUUUGCUUCAGGAUGAGAACAGAAAUCGUGCUCCGGCGGCGAGGCGGCAGCGGGAGGCCCCAUUAGCUAAAGCGGUGCUUCAGGUUAAGAACAGUUUCAGGUUAAGAAUGGACCUCCGGAACGAAUUAAGUACUUAACCCGAGGUACCACUGUACUGUGUACAGUUCUGGUUACCUCAAAAAUAAUACUGUAGAACUGGAAAUUAUCUAGGGGGUGGAGCAAUUCCCCUUGAGGAAAGGUUGCAGAGUUUGAGACUUCAGUUUAGGAAAAAAGGCAAGUAAGAUGAUGUAUAAAAGUAUUUAAAAUUAUGUAUGGCAGGGAGAAAGUGGAGAGAAUAAAGUUUUUUGCCCCACCCCACUGCUCAUAACACUAGAACUGAAUGUUGGAAAAUUUAGGACAGAUAACAGAAAAAAAACAUUCUUCACACAGAACAUAGUUAAAAUACAGAACUCUCUCUCCCACAGGAGGCAACAAUGGAGACCAAUCUAGAUGACUUUAAAAGAGGAUUAGACAAAUUUACGGAGAAGAGGGCUACUGAAGGCUACUAGCCAUAGUUGGAGGCAGCAAUGCUUUUGAAUACCAGUUGCUGGAAACCACAGAAGGAAAGAGGGCUCUUGUGCUUGGGUCUUGCUUGUGGGAUGGCCACUGUGAGAACAGGAUGCUGGAGCAGAUGGGCCAUUGGCCUGAUUCAGCAGGCUCUUCUUCUACCUUUGCAAUCUCCAGCAACAUCUGGAGAGCACAGGUUGCCCACCCGAGUGUGAGCCGUAACCUGCUCCUCCCACUCCUGCCUGGACAUGUCACAUAGCUUGCCAUCUGUGGCAUGGAUGCUGCAGUUGGCCACCCGUGUGUCAGCAUGUUAGACUGUCAGUCAAGUUUCUUUUGAGUGCAGGAACAGCUGGCAGAGCUGACUGGGUGGGUGGGUCUCUCCAUUUAUCAAUGUCACCCUCUGGGGUGGUCCUCUGCGUCGCUGCUCUUCCUGCUGCACUCAGACUCUCUUUCAGAUGUUCACUUCAAAGGGGUCCCAAUGAGAUGCAUGGUACCGAAUAAACCACAGGCUCUGC
Molecule: long non-coding RNA, 7305 nt
Filed under: Podarcis lilfordi (Lilford's wall lizard)
Lineage: Eukaryota; Metazoa; Chordata; Lepidosauria; Squamata; Lacertidae
Rfam family: tRNA (bases 1464-1535)
Source: RNAcentral